AGGACUAUAGUUAACAAUAACAUCUGGGUUGCAUUCAGAAGGUAUCAAUCUGAUUAGUCUUG
Molecule: transfer RNA, 62 nt
Filed under: Dicranocentrus wangi
Lineage: Eukaryota; Metazoa; Arthropoda; Collembola; Entomobryomorpha; Entomobryidae
Description: tRNA-Ala
Source: RNAcentral